CAACAGGGAUUGCCCUAGUAACGGCGAGUGAAGCGGCAACAGCUCAAAUUUGAAAUCUGGCGUCUUUGGCGUCCGAGUUGUAAUUUGCAGAGGGCGCUUUGGCAUUGGCAGCGGUCCAAGUUCCUUGGAACAGGACGUCACAGAGGGUGAGAAUCCCGUACGUGGUCGCUAGCCUUUACCGUGUAAAGCCCCUUCGACGAGUCGAGUUGUUUGGGAAUGCAGCUCUAAAUGGGAGGUAAAUUUCUUCUAAAGCUAAAUACUGGCCAGAGACCGAUAGCGCACAAGUAGAGUGAUCGAAAGAUGAAAAGCACUUUGGAAAGAGAGUUAAAAAGCACGUGAAAUUGUUGAAAGGGAAGCGCUUGCAGCCAGACUUGCCUGUAGUUGCUCAUCCGGGUUUUUACCCGGUGCACUCUUCUAUAGGCAGGCCAGCAUCAGUUUGGGCGGUUGGAUAAAGGUCUCUGUCAUGUAACUCUCUUCGGGGAGAACUUAUAGGGGAGACGACAUGCAACCAGCCUGGACUGAGGUCCGCGCAUCUGCUAGGAUGCUGGCGUAAUGGCUGUAAGCGGCCCGUCUUGAAACACGGACCAAGGAGUCUAACAUCUAUGCGAGUGUUUGGGUGUCAAGCCCGAGCGCGUAAUGAAAGUGAACGGAGGUGGGAACCUUUCGGGGUGCACCAUCGACCGAUCCUGAUGUCUUCGGAUGGAUUUGAGUAAGAGCAUAGCUGUUGGGACCCGAAAGAUGGUGAACUAUGCUUGAAUAGGGUGAAGCCAGAGGAAACUCUGGUGGAGGCUCGCAGCGGUUCUGACGUGCAAAUCGAUCGUCAAAUUUGGGCAUAGGGGCGAAAGACUAAUCGAACUAUCUAGUAGCUGGUUCCUGCCGAGUUUUUCCUU
Molecule: ribosomal RNA, 890 nt
Filed under: Neomicrosphaeropsis tamaricicola
Lineage: Eukaryota; Fungi; Ascomycota; Dothideomycetes; Pleosporales; Didymellaceae
Description: partial 28S ribosomal RNA
Rfam family: Eukaryotic large subunit ribosomal RNA
Source: RNAcentral